GACGAACGCUGGCGGCACGCCUAACACAUGCAAGUCGAACGGAGUUAUGAGAGCUUGCUUUCAUAACUUAGUGGCGGACGGGUGAGUAACACGUGAGCAACCUACCUUUAAGAAAGGGAUAGCUUCUGGAAACGGAUGGUAAUACCUUAUAACAUAGAAAUACGGCAUCGUAUUUUAUCAAAGAUUUAUCGCUUAAAGAUGGGCUCGCGGCUGAUUAGCUAGAUGGUGAGGUAAUGGCUCACCAUGGCGACGAUCAGUAGCCGGACUGAGAGGUUGAACGGCCACAUUGGGACUGAGACACGGCCCAGACUCCUACGGGAGGCAGCAGUGGGGGAUAUUGCACAAUGGAGGAAACUCUGAUGCAGCGAUGCCGCGUGGAGGAAGAAGGUCUUCGGAUUGUAAAACUCCUGCUAUCGGGGACGAAGAUGACGGUACCCGACGAGGAAGCUCCGGCUAACUACGUGCCAGCAGCCGCGGUAAUAGUC
Molecule: ribosomal RNA, 485 nt
Filed under: uncultured bacterium
Lineage: Bacteria
Description: bacterial SSU rRNA
Rfam family: Bacterial small subunit ribosomal RNA
Source: RNAcentral